RNAcentral lists this small nuclear RNA (56 nucleotides) under Lepisosteus oculatus (spotted gar). Its description in RNAcentral is "U7 small nuclear RNA". It matches the Rfam family "U7 small nuclear RNA". Rfam says of the family: Animal histone pre-mRNAs are spliced by a different mechanism than nuclear pre-mRNAs and self-splicing introns. This processing involves the U7 snRNP, which contains only one RNA species: U7. The record is from Rfam by way of RNAcentral. Lineage: Eukaryota; Metazoa; Chordata; Actinopteri; Semionotiformes; Lepisosteidae.
GAAUUUUUGCUCUUUUAGUAUUUGUCUAGAAGGCUUUCUGAGGUCAGAAAGCCCAU